RNAcentral lists this unclassified non-coding RNA (329 nucleotides) under soil metagenome. RNAcentral's name for it is "partial contains 5.8S ribosomal RNA, internal transcribed spacer 2, and large subunit ribosomal RNA". The stretch from base 1 to 120 matches the Rfam family "5.8S ribosomal RNA", at positions 35 to 154 of the family's 154-position model. The record is from RNAcentral.
GAUGAAGAACGCAGUGAAAUGCGAUAAGUAAUGUGAAUUGCAGAAUUCAGUGAAUCAUCGAAUCUUUGAACGCACAUUGCGCCCCUUGGUAUUCCGAGGGGCAUGCCUGUUCGAGCGUCAUUAUAACCCCUCAAGCUCAGCUUGGUGUUGGGGCCUGCUGCACUGGCAGCCCUUAAAAUCAGUGGCGGCGCCAUCUGGCUCUAAGCGUAGUAAUUCUUCUCGCUAUGGAGUCCUGGUGGAUGCUUGCCAUCAACCCCCAAUUUUUCUCUGGUUGACCUCGGAUCAGGUAGGGAUACCCGCUGAACUUAAGCAUAUCAAUAAGCGGAGGA